RNAcentral lists this ribosomal RNA (253 nucleotides) under uncultured bacterium. Its description in RNAcentral is "partial 16S ribosomal RNA". It matches the Rfam family "Bacterial small subunit ribosomal RNA", at positions 524 to 776 of the family's 1533-position model. The record is from RNAcentral.
UACGGGGGGGGCAAGCGUUGUUCGGAAUUACUGGGCGUAAAGGGCUCGUAGGUGGCCAACUAAGUCAGACGUGAAAUCCCUCGGCUUAACCCGGGAACUGCGUCCGAUACUGGCAGGCUUGAAUUCGGGAGAGGGAUGUGGAAUUCCAGGUGUAGCGGUGAAAUGCGUAGAUAUCUGGAGGAACACCGGUGGCGAAGGCGGCAUCCUGGACCGAUAUUGACGCUGAUGCGCGAAAGCCAGGGGAGCAAACGGG